RNAcentral lists this ribosomal RNA (253 nucleotides) under uncultured bacterium. RNAcentral describes it as "partial 16S ribosomal RNA". It matches the Rfam family "Bacterial small subunit ribosomal RNA", at positions 524 to 776 of the family's 1533-position model. The record is from RNAcentral.
UACGUAGGGUGCGAGCGUUAAUCGGAAUUACUGGGCGUAAAGCGUGCGCAGGCGGUUAUGUAAGACAGUUGUGAAAUCCCCGGGCUCAACCUGGGAAUUGCAUCUGUGACUGCAUAGCUAGAGUACGGUAGAGGGGGAUGGAAUUCCGCGUGUAGCAGUGAAAUGCGUAGAUAUGCGGAGGGACACCGAUGGCGAAGGCAAUCCCCUGGACAACACCUGACACUGAGGCACGAAAGCUAGGGGAGCAAACAGG